GCGGCCUAUCAGCUUGUUGGUGAGGUAAUGGCUCACCAAGGCGACGACGGGUAGCCGGCCUGAGAGGGCGACCGGCCACACUGGGACUGAGACACGGCCCAGACUCCUACGGGAGGCAGCAGUGGGGAAUAUUGGGCAAUGGAGGGAACUCUGACCCAGCGACGCCGCGUGCGGGAUGAAGGCCUUCGGGUUGUAAACCGCUUUCAGCAAGGAAGAAGCGAAAGUGACGGUACUUGCGGAAGAAGCACCGGCUAACUAUGUGCCAGCAGCCGCGGUAAUACAUAGGGUGCAAGCGUUGUCCGGAAUUAUUGGGCGUAAAGAGCUCGUAGGUGGUUCGUCACGUCGGAUGUGAAAAUCUGGGGCUUAACCCCAGACCUGCAUUCGAUACGGGCGAGCUAGAGUGUGGUAGGGGAGACUGGAAUUCCU
This 426-nucleotide ribosomal RNA is filed under the name uncultured Actinomycetes bacterium. Its description in RNAcentral is "bacterial SSU rRNA". It matches the Rfam family "Bacterial small subunit ribosomal RNA", at positions 233 to 671 of the family's 1533-position model. Lineage: Bacteria; Bacillati; Actinomycetota; Actinomycetes. The record is from RNAcentral.